This 319-nucleotide ribosomal RNA is filed under the name uncultured eukaryote. Its description in RNAcentral is "partial 18S ribosomal RNA". It matches the Rfam family "Eukaryotic small subunit ribosomal RNA", at positions 1470 to 1796 of the family's 1831-position model. The record is from RNAcentral.
CCCAUAGAUGUUCUGGGCUGCACGCGUGCUACAAUGGCGUUUCCAGCAAGUCUGCGAACCCGAGAGGGCCAGCGGAUCUUCGAAUUGGCGUCGUGAUCGGGACAGUCGAUUGCAAUUAUUUGACUCAAACGAGGAAUUCCUUGUAAUCGCGAUUCAUCAUAUCGCGCUGAAUACGUCCCUGCCCUUUGUACACACCGCCCGUCGCUCCUACCGAUUGAGCGAUCCGGUAAAUGUUUUGGAUUGGUGCCGGGGCGGCUAGCUGCCGGUCGCUACGAAAUUUUGUGAACCUUAUCGCUUAGAGGAAGGAAAAGUCGUAACA